RNAcentral lists this ribosomal RNA (381 nucleotides) under Burkholderiaceae bacterium. RNAcentral describes it as "bacterial SSU rRNA". It matches the Rfam family "Bacterial small subunit ribosomal RNA", at positions 1 to 384 of the family's 1533-position model. The record is from RNAcentral. Lineage: Bacteria; Pseudomonadati; Pseudomonadota; Betaproteobacteria; Burkholderiales; Burkholderiaceae.
GAACUGAAGAGUUUGAUCCUGGCUCAGAUUGAACGCUGGCGGCAUGCUUUACACAUGCAAGUCGAACGGCAGCAUGGGCUUCGGCCUGAUGGCGAGUGGCGAACGGGUGAGUAACACAUCGGAACAUAUCCAGGAGUGGGGGACAACCAGUCGAAAGAUUGGCUAAUACCGCAUACGAUCUGAGGAUGAAAGAGGGGGACCUUCGGGCCUCUUGCUUUUGGUUUGGCCGAUGGCUGAUUAGCUAGUUGGUGGGGUAAAGGCCUACCAAGGCGACGAUCAGUAGCUGGUCUGAGAGGACGAUCAGCCACACUGGGACUGAGACACGGCCCAGACUCCUACGGGAGGCAGCAGUGGGGAAUUUUGGACAAUGGGGGCAACCCU